CAGAUCAGAUUCAAAACAAUCUUCCAUCUAAAUUCAAAACAGUCAUAGGCUUUCAUAAUGAAAAUUUGGAUUCAAACCAGAAUUGCAUAAAUAAAAUGAAGUUUUAUUUUAUGAAUAUGUUGACCGCGUGUUUGGUUCGCUGAUUCGGAUUCAUGAUUCAAUUCAAACCAGAAGUGCAAUAUUUCAUCAUUAGACUGCAGAUUCAUGAUUCAAUUCAACUAGUUAGUUUUCAGAAAAAAAAAUAUCGCAUCAUUAUUAAACGUGACUGCAUGUUUCAAUUUCUACAAAUGUUGAAUCUUUCAUCAGAAACAUUAAAAACAUAAAAGGGAUUAGGGAAGACAAUGUUUACCUUGAUUGAAUUGGAAAGGUUUUC
Molecule: long non-coding RNA, 373 nt
Filed under: Gossypium barbadense (sea-island cotton)
Lineage: Eukaryota; Viridiplantae; Streptophyta; Magnoliopsida; Malvales; Malvaceae
Description: long non-coding RNA (GBAR_LNC017874)
Source: RNAcentral